Molecule: non-coding RNA, 24 nt
Filed under: Arabidopsis thaliana (thale cress)
Lineage: Eukaryota; Viridiplantae; Streptophyta; Magnoliopsida; Brassicales; Brassicaceae
Source: RNAcentral
UGAGAAAAUUCUCAGAUCUCGCCU